AGAGUUUGAUCAUGGCUCAGGACAAACGCUGGCGGCGUGCCUAAAACAUGCAAGUCGUACGGUCCUUCGGGACAGUGGCGAACGGCUGAGUAACACGUGGGUAACCUACCCUCGAGUGGGGGAUAACCCCGGGAAACCGGAGCUAAUACCGCGUACGUUCACCCGAUCACGGUUGGGUGAGGAAAGCAGUAAUGCGCUCGAGGAUGGGCCUGCGUCCGAUUAGCUUGUUGGUGGGGUAACGGCCUACCAAGGCGACGAUGCGUAGCUGGUCUGAGAGGAUGAUCAGCCACACUGGGACUGAGACACGGCCCAGACUCCUACGGGAGGCAGCAGCCAGGAAUCUUGGGCAAUGGGCGAAAGCCUGACCCAGCAACACCGUGUGGGUGACGAAGGCCUUAGGGUCGUAAAGCCCUGUUGAUAGGGACGAAGGGCGAAGGGUUAAUAGCCCCUAGCUUGACGGUACCUUUCGAGGAAGCCCCGGCUAACUACGUGCCAGCAGCCGCGGUAAUACGUAGGGGGCGAGCGUUGUCCGGAAUUAUUGGGCGUAAAGAGCGUGUAGGCGGUUCGGUAAGUCUGCUGUGAAAUCCUGGGGCUCAACCCUGGGCGUGCAGCGGAUACUGCCGGGCUAGAGGGUGGUAGAGGCGAGUGGAAUUCCGAGCGUAGCGGUGAAAUGCGCAGAUAUUCGGAGGAACACCAGUAGCGAAGGCGGCUCGCUGGGCCACACCUGACGCUGAGACGCGAAAGCGUGGGGAGCGAACAGGAUUAGAUACCCCCGUAGUCC
Molecule: ribosomal RNA, 781 nt
Filed under: uncultured Rubrobacter sp.
Lineage: Bacteria; Bacillati; Actinomycetota; Rubrobacteria; Rubrobacterales; Rubrobacteraceae
Description: bacterial SSU rRNA
Rfam family: Bacterial small subunit ribosomal RNA
Source: RNAcentral